This 322-nucleotide long non-coding RNA is filed under the name Oryctolagus cuniculus (rabbit). Its description in RNAcentral is "lncRNA (ENSOCUG00000029850.1)". The record is from RNAcentral. Lineage: Eukaryota; Metazoa; Chordata; Mammalia; Lagomorpha; Leporidae.
GAACAAACUGAUCUGAUGAACUCUAUCAGCUGUGUUUGGGACAGCUCCUAAGGGGUACCGUGCUUGGGCAGGACUUUGAGGGAGAACCCAGUCUGGAGAAAUGGGUGAAGGUCUCAACCCCAACACCAUCACCACCGUCUCAGUUUGUUGUCUACCUCCAGUGGAAUUGAAGCAACUUGAAAGCACAGAUAAUAGCUCCCUGAAAAAUAUUGUCAAGUUCACAUCUCUAUUCACAGCACCUAUCAACUUAUGAUUUUUUUCCUUUGAAAUAGUAUAAAAGAGAUGCAUUCAGAAAAAAACUGUACUUUGAAUUUCAUUUUUA